This 1215-nucleotide long non-coding RNA is filed under the name Anser brachyrhynchus (Pink-footed goose). RNAcentral's name for it is "lncRNA (ENSABRG00000001822.1)". The record is from RNAcentral. Lineage: Eukaryota; Metazoa; Chordata; Aves; Anseriformes; Anatidae.
GAGGAUUUCAAAAGUUUUGUAUGUUGGGCGCAGGGUAAUUGUGUCCUCGGAGUUAGCAAAUAUUGACCAGGGUUCCACACCUCAUCCAGUAGGUAGGAAACCCAGCCAUGUUGUACCACCCUGCCUCUGAUAAAUAUGUGAUACCCAGUCAUUUCACAGUGUGGCUGGCUAGGUCUGCUUCUUCUUACUUCAGGCAUGUGUUUACGCUUCUAUUUUGAUAUCCUCAGCUUGUGGUCAGUACUUCAUCAAGGAGUAAUCUGUGUCUUGCUAUGCUUUGUGAAAGACGUGGUGAGUGGGUUCUUGUUAGUAAUCGGGGAUCCUGUGUUUCGUUUUGCAGCAGUCAUCAGCUGUGACUUCCACCCAGGUGAGAUGCUGAUUUCCAUGUGGUACAGUGCUGCUGUGAUUUAUUAGCUUUCACCUACUCUUGCCUUAGUAAUGGGAAAAUUAAGCCCUUAUGUGUUCUCACAUGAUAUUUUCUUCUGUUCACAUUAUGCCUUUUCCACUAUCUCAAUUUAAUUUGCCUUGACUUAUAUUAAGGUUUUCUUCCAAAAGCCCUUUCCUAUAGACCACAGCAAUGAAUUCAGCGUGAGGAAGGCUAGACAUCAUCUUUUCACUCAGAGAAAUAGAUCACAGAAAAGGAAGCCUUUAAAAUGCUACUAUCCAUCUCUUCACCUGAUUAGUAUAUAAAGAACAUAGUACAAGAGUAAGGGCUGAAGAGUUAAUCUCUUACAUUAAUCUCCCCCAUUACAUUAUAUUAAAUAAUCUCUUCCUCAAAUGACUAUACAAUGCAGCACUACUAGUAAAAUUAAAUUUCACAUUGGGAUUUUUUAAGUAUUGUAACCCUUAAAUAAUUUUCUUCAUUUAACUCCAUCACAAAAUUGCAUCCCAAACACUAUAAAGACAUCUGCUCUGAAACUUCCUCAAACUGGUGGGGUUGGCGGCUCUCGUUACAGCCAAAACAUUCAACAAAAAGAUUCCUCAGUUUUCUCUCAUCACACACAAUUAUGAGUUUUGACUUCAAAUACUUAUACUCACAUAAUUACAGUAUUCUGAAAAGAUGUCCUAAAUAUAUAUGAUUCCCAGCUUGACUGAGACUUCAAGCAAAUUCUCUUGUCUGGGUGCUUGGUAAAGGAAAACUAAAUUAGUGAGAGUACAAUACAGCAAGUUACAGUGUUUAGAUACAAUAACCAAAAAUAAAGUCAAUUUAAUCUUCCA